Molecule: ribosomal RNA, 1212 nt
Filed under: Triticum aestivum (bread wheat)
Lineage: Eukaryota; Viridiplantae; Streptophyta; Magnoliopsida; Poales; Poaceae
Description: partial small subunit ribosomal RNA
Source: RNAcentral
AUGGCGGCCCCCGCUGCUGAAGCCCCGGCGCCCGUUCUCCCUCCUGCCAGAAGGAAGGAUGCGGAUCCGGCUCGUCUCCAAACCUCGCCGCUCCUUCCCGCCGCAGGCUGGUCGGACCUUCCGCCCGAUCUCGUCCGCCGCGUCGCCGACUCCCUCCUCGCCGCCAACGACCUCGACUGCUACAUGGACUUCCGCGCCGUCUGCUCCGGCUGGCGCGCCGCCACCGACGACCCCAGGAGCGACCCCUUCGACCCCCGCUUUCGCCCGCGCCGGUGGGUCAUCCUGGACGACGGCGACGACCUGCUGCUGCUGAAUGCCGCCACGGGGCGCUUCCUCCGCAAGAGGAUCCCGCUGCUCCGCCGCUACCACGUCCUCGCCGCCACUCCCGGCGGCUUCUUCGUCCUGGCGGACAGGUACCCUUCUCGAGCCGCCUGCGUCUUCAAUCCUCUCACCGUCGUCCUGAUCCGGUUCGCGGCACCUGUACCCACCAAGAAGGUCGCCGCCGCCACUGUCGUCUUCGGUCGCAGCUCUUGGCCCACGCUCACGCUCAACUUGCUCUGCAACUCUCCUUCCAAAAGUUACUCGGCCACUCCUGACAUGGAAAGUUUCCAAGAAAAGGAGGUGCAGUUGCCCAUUGAUUGUCAUAUCUCAUUGAAGGCAGUCAGAGGCGGUGUCUACGCCGACGGUGGUGGCGCUGCGCAGGGAUUCAGGCACGGGGUUUCUGUUAUAUUCGAGAUCUUCGAUUUGAUACAGUCACUUCAUGUCCAUCCAUCAAUGUUUUAUGCCGAGGAUCUUCCUAUGGCCGGACACGCAAACGACCACACCCGGUUUUUCAUCGUGGAAUUCGGUGGAGAAGUGCUGAUCGUCAUCAAGCUGCAGCCAUGCGUCAAGGUUUUCAAGAUGGACAUCGGUAGCAUUGUGCCUGUGGAGAGCAUCGGCAGCCAUGCCAUCUUCAUCGGUCAUCACAGGUGCCUGGCUGUUGACACCGAUAAGUUUCCAUCUGUUGAGUCCAACUGUGUCUACUACGUUGAGCGCCUGGGUUCGUCUGCGUACAUCUGCAUGUACAAUCUCAAGGACGAGAAAGACGAGAGGAUCUCAGCUGGCGCUGUAGAUUUCGUGAAGCUGCACGAGUUGUUCAUCCUCGCCGCCCACCGCCCUUUCACCAUCAUCCAACUUCUCUCCAGCUACAGCAUCAAUGCCCGGGAUUCUUAA